GAUCCUGGCUCAGAUUGAACGCUGGCGGAAUGCUUUACACAUGCAAGUCGAACGGUAGAGGGGGCAACCCUUGAGAGUGGCGAACGGGUGAGUAAUAUAUCGGAACGUGCCCAGUCGUGGGGGAUAACGUAGCGAAAGCUACGCUAAUACCGCAUACGAUCUACGGAUGAAAGCGGGGGAUCGCAAGACCUCGCGCGAUUGGAGCGGCCGAUAUCAGAUUAGGUAGUUGGUGAGGUAAAGGCUCACCAAGCCGACGAUCUGUAGCUGGUCUGAGAGGACGACCAGCCACACUGGGACUGAGACACGGCCCAGACUCCUACGGGAGGCAGCAGUGGGGAAUUUUGGACAAUGGACGCAAGUCUGAUCCAGCCAUUCCGCGUGCAGGAUGAAGGCCCUCGGGUUGUAAACUGCUUUGUACGGAACGAAAAGGUUUGUCUUAAUACGAUGAGCUCAUGACGGUACCGUAAGAAUAAGCACCGGCUAACUACGUG
RNAcentral lists this ribosomal RNA (491 nucleotides) under uncultured bacterium. RNAcentral's name for it is "bacterial SSU rRNA". It matches the Rfam family "Bacterial small subunit ribosomal RNA", at positions 15 to 507 of the family's 1533-position model. The record is from RNAcentral.